Molecule: long non-coding RNA, 372 nt
Organism: Onychostoma macrolepis
Lineage: Eukaryota; Metazoa; Chordata; Actinopteri; Cypriniformes; Cyprinidae
Exons: 5
Source: RefSeq, a predicted model, not a curated record
AGAACCGGAGGUUAUAUAAGCUGCGGUCGUCACGUGACGCGCACAGCCGGACUCUGAGUGGACGUCGCCUGAUGGGAGAGCUUUCACGAGAUUGUCAUCCGAUUGUUCUGCUGCACCCCAAAGCCUCCACAGCACAGCACACCACACCACAGCACAGAACAGGCUUUGGCUUUUGUGCUGGAUGGAGAAACUGAGAAGUUUAUAAACAGAAGGCAUGGAAGAAGAGAGCAGGUCCUAAAACAAAGAAAUUCUUCUUAAGGAUAAACCUGAGGUCCUGGGAGUUCUUAGAGGUUCUAAAGUGUUUUUUAUGCAUUUGUUGAUGUCAAAUUUUCAAUAAUAAAUUCAAAUAAAUUCUCAUAGUUUUUACAUUUA